RNAcentral lists this ribosomal RNA (497 nucleotides) under uncultured bacterium. RNAcentral's name for it is "partial 16S ribosomal RNA". It matches the Rfam family "Bacterial small subunit ribosomal RNA", at positions 28 to 507 of the family's 1533-position model. The record is from RNAcentral.
GAUGAACGCUGGCGGCGUGCCUAAUACAUGCAAGUCGAGCGAACAGACGAGGAGCUUGCUCCUCUGACGUUAGCGGCGGACGGGUGAGUAACACGUGGAUAACCUACCUAUAAGACUGGGAUAACUUCGGGAAACCGGAGCUAAUACCGGAUAAUAUAUUGAACCGCAUGGUUCAAUAGUGAAAGACGGUUUUGCUGUCACUUAUAGAUGGAUCCGCGCCGCAUUAGCUAGUUGGUAAGGUAACGGCUUACCAAGGCGACGAUGCGUAGCCGACCUGAGAGGGUGAUCGGCCACACUGGAACUGAGACACGGUCAAGACGCCUACGGGAGGCAGCAGUAGGGAAUCUUCCGCAAUGGGCGAAAGCCUGACGGAGCAACGCCGCGUGAGUGAUGAAGGUCUUCGGAUCGUAAAACUCUGUUAUUAGGGAAGAACAAAUGUGUAAGUAACUAUGCACGUCUUGACGGUACCUAAUCAGAAAGCCACGGCUAACUACGUG